This 253-nucleotide ribosomal RNA is filed under the name uncultured bacterium. Its description in RNAcentral is "partial 16S ribosomal RNA". It matches the Rfam family "Bacterial small subunit ribosomal RNA", at positions 524 to 776 of the family's 1533-position model. The record is from RNAcentral.
UACGGGGGGGGCAAGCGUUGUUCGGAAUUACUGGGCGUAAAGCGUGCGUAGGCGGUUUGUUAAGUCUGUUGUGAAAGCCCCGGGCUCAACCUGGGAAUGGCAAUGGAUACUGGCAGGCUAGAGUGCGGUAGAGGGUAGUGGAAUUCCCGGUGUAGCGGUGAAAUGCGUAGAGAUCGGGAGGAACACCAGUGGCGAAGGCGGCUACCUGGACCAGCACUGACACUGAGGCACGAAAGCGUGGGGAGCAAACAGG